RNAcentral lists this ribosomal RNA (490 nucleotides) under uncultured bacterium. RNAcentral describes it as "bacterial SSU rRNA". It matches the Rfam family "Bacterial small subunit ribosomal RNA", at positions 30 to 513 of the family's 1533-position model. The record is from RNAcentral.
AUUGAACGCUGGCGGCAGGCCUAACACAUGCAAGUCGAGCGGAUGAGGGUAGCUUGCUACCUGAUUCAGCGGCGGACGGGUGAGUAAUGCCUAGGAAUCUGCCUGGUAGUGGGGGACAACGUUUCGAAAGGAACGCUAAUACCGCAUACGUCCUACGGGAGAAAGUGGGGGAUCUUCGGACCUCACGCUAUCAGAUGAGCCUAGGUCGGAUUAGCUAGUUGGUGGGGUAAAGGCUCACCAAGGCGACGAUCCGUAACUGGUCUGAGAGGAUGAUCAGUCACACUGGAACUGAGACACGGUCCAGACUCCUACGGGAGGCAGCAGUGGGGAAUAUUGGACAAUGGGCGCAAGCCUGAUCCAGCCAUGCCGCGUGUGUGAAGAAGGUCUUCGGAUUGUAAAGCACUUUAAGUUGGGAGGAAGGGCAGUAAGUUAAUACCUUGCUGUUUUGACGUUACCGACAGAAUAAGCACCGGCUAACUCUGUGCCAGCA